RNAcentral lists this ribosomal RNA (1379 nucleotides) under uncultured bacterium. RNAcentral describes it as "16S ribosomal RNA". It matches the Rfam family "Bacterial small subunit ribosomal RNA". The record is from RNAcentral.
UUCGCCCUUAGAGUUUGAUCCUGGCUCAGGACGAACGCUGGCGGCGCGCCUAACACAUGCAAGUCGAACGAGCGAGAGAGAGCUUGCUUUCUUGAGCGAGUGGCGAACGGGUGAGUAACGCGUGAGGAACCUGCCUCAAAGAGGGGGACAACAGUUGGAAACGACUGCUAAUACCGCAUAAGCCCACGGGUCGGCAUCGACCAGAGGGAAAAGGAGCAAUCCGCUUUGAGAUGGCCUCGCGUCCGAUUAGCUGGUUGGUGAGGUAAUGGCCCACCAAGGCGACGAUCGGUAGCCGGACUGAGAGGUUGAACGGCCACAUUGGGACUGAGACACGGCCCAGACUCCUACGGGAGGCAGCAGUGGGGAAUAUUGCACAAUGGGGGAAACCCUGAUGCAGCGACGCCGCGUGGAGGAAGAAGGUCUUCGGAUUGUAAACUCCUGUUGUUGGGGAAGAUAAUGACGGUAUCCAACAAGGAAGUGACGGCUAACUACGUGCCAGCAGCCGCGGUAAAACGUAGGUCACAAGCGUUGUCCGGAAUUACUGGGUGUAAAGGGAGCGCAGGCGGGAAGACAAGUUGGAAGUGAAAUCCAUGGGCUCAACCCAUGAACUGCUUUCAAAACUGUUUUUCUUGAGUAGUGCAGAGGUAGGCGGAAUUCCCGGUGUAGCGGUGGAAUGCGUAGAUAUCGGGAGGAACACCAGUGGCGAAGGCGGCCUACUGGGCACCAACUGACGCUGAGGCUCGAAAGUGUGGGUAGCAAACAGGAUUAGAUACCCUGGUAGUCCACACCGUAAACGAUGAUUACUAGGUGUUGGAGGAUUGACCCCUUCAGUGCCGCAGUUAACACAAUAAGUAAUCCACCUGGGGAGUACGACCGCAAGGUUGAAACUCAAAGGAAUUGACGGGGGCCCGCACAAGCAGUGGAGUAUGUGGUUUAAUUCGACGCAACGCGAAGAACCUUACCAAGUCUUGACAUCCGUUGACCGACAUAGAAAUAUGUUUUUCCUUCGGGACAGCGAGACAGGUGGUGCAUGGUUGUCGUCAGCUCGUGUCGUGAGAUGUUGGGUUAAGUCCCGCAACGAGCGCAACCCUUAUGGUCAGUUACUACGCAAGAGGACUCUGGCCAGACUGCCGUUGACAAAACGGAGGAAGGUGGGGAUGACGUCAAAUCAUCAUGCCCUUUAUGACUUGGGCUACACACGUACUACAAUGGCGUUAAACAAAGAGAAGCAAGACCGCGAGGUGGAGCAAAACUCAGAAACAACGUCCCAGUUCGGACUGCAGGCUGCAACUCGCCUGCACGAAGUCGGAAUUGCUAGUAAUCGUGGAUCAGCAUGCCACGGUGAAUACGUUCCCGGGCCUUGUACACACCGCCCGUCA